RNAcentral lists this ribosomal RNA (233 nucleotides) under uncultured bacterium. RNAcentral's name for it is "partial 16S ribosomal RNA". It matches the Rfam family "Bacterial small subunit ribosomal RNA", at positions 15 to 240 of the family's 1533-position model. The record is from RNAcentral.
GAUCCUGCUCAGGAUGAACGCUAGCUACAGGCUUAACACAUGCAAGUCGAGGGGCAGCGGGAAGUCAGCUUGCUGACUUUGCCGGCGACCGGCGCACGGGUGAGUAACACGUAUCCAACCUCCCGCAUACUCGGGAAUAGCCUUUCGAAAGAAAGAUUAAUGCCCGAUGGUUUCAAGGGAUUGCAUGGUAUCUUGAAUAAAGAUUCAUCGGUAUGCGAUGGGGAUGCGUUCCA